Non-coding RNA from Physcomitrium patens, 968 nucleotides. NCBI's taxonomy places the organism in Eukaryota, Viridiplantae, Streptophyta, Bryopsida, Funariales, Funariaceae. The record is from RefSeq and is a predicted model, not a curated record.
UGUGGCGAGGCAGAUUCAAUGUAGCGUUGUUGUUGUGUUUUUUGGUGAAGGGGAGGGCGUUUUGAAGGCAAGCGAGGGAUUGGAUUGUUGUGGGAUCGACCACAAUGGCCACCACGGGGAAGUACUUGGCGACGCAGGAGGAGAUGGUGGAGGCUCGCUUGCCAUUGGGUUCCCGGGAUAUGUGCUCCAAGCUCCUCAUCCCUCUGAACAAGUGCCGCCAGGAGACUUUCUACUUGCCCUGGAAGUGCGAGGACGAGAGGCACGGCUACGAGAAGUGUGAGUAUGAUAUCUUCCUGCAACGCAUGAAGAAGAUGCAGGAGAUGCGACUAGGGCAGGCGCAGGCGAUCCCUGCCCCACAGUAGAUUGAUUGCCCAGCGCUUUAGUGCCAUGGUUUCGGUUAGUGUGCUUGACACCGCAUUUUGCUUGAGAUUUGAAAAAAAAAUUAGAUUCUUGGGAAAAUUGGGUGUCGUGGAUCACUCUGUCUGGAGGUUUGAAGGCUUUCCUUUCUACUUGUGAGGCAGGGGAUUGCCUUCGUGAGGAGAUUAAUUAGGGGAACAUUUUAGGUCAAGAAUGGGGUCUCUCGUCGAUAAGAGCUGAUUUCGUAUGGGUUUUAUUGACACGUUAUUACAUUCCCAAACUGGAAUUUCGUGAAAUUGAAACAGAAACAGCUUUUUCUGUAGAAAGACAGACCAAAAAUAAAUGAAUAAACAAACAAAAGAGAAGUAAACAUUUUCUCGAGCUUUAGCGCAGCAGCCAGUUAUAGGUGUUGCUGUGUAGAGAGUGGAGCCACACGAUCUGUUAGUACUCGGUUGCUAGAACUGGUGUUAUGCAUCUUUAAAAGUACCAGGAAUCGCACCGGGAAUCGUAAUGAAAACUUUCUCGAAACAAGAAGUCAAGUACUAGCGGAUCGUAAGAGAAAUCUCCAGGAAAGACAGAGUUGGUUCUUACUCUCCACUCUUGAAAAUUGA